Molecule: ribosomal RNA, 476 nt
Filed under: uncultured Bacillota bacterium
Lineage: Bacteria; Bacillati; Bacillota
Description: bacterial SSU rRNA
Rfam family: Bacterial small subunit ribosomal RNA
Source: RNAcentral
UAGGGAAUCUUCGGCAAUGGACGAAAGUCUGACCGAGCAACGCCGCGUGAGUGAGGAAGGCCUUCGGGUCGUAAAGCUCUGUUGUUAGGGAAGAACAAGUACCGUUCGAAUAGGGCGGUACCUUGACGGUACCUAACCAGAAAGCCACGGCCAACUACGUGCCAGCAGCCGCGGUAAUACGUAGGUGGCAAGCGUUGUCCGGAAUUAUUGGGCGUAAAGCGCGCGCAGGCGGUCUCUUAAGUCUGAUGUGAAAGCCCACGGCUCAACCGUGGAGGGUCAUUGGAAACUGGGGGACUUGAGUACUGGAGAGGAGAGUGGAAUUCCAUGUGUAGCGGUGAAAUGCGUAGAUAUAUGGAGGAACACCAGUGGCGAAGGCGGCGUCUCUGGCCAGUAACUGACGCUGAGGCGCGAAAGCGUGGGGAGCAAACAGGAUUAGAUACCCUGGUAGUCCACGCCGUAAACGAUGAGUGCUAGGU